UACGUAGGUCCCGAGCGUCGUCCGGAUUUAUUGGGCGUAAAGCGAGCGCAGGUGGUUUAUUAAGUCUGGUGUAAAAGGCAGUGGCUCAACCAUUGUAUGCAUUGGAAACUGGUAGACUUGAGUGCAGGAGAGGAGAGUGGAAUUCCAUGUGUAGCGGUGAAAUGCGUAAAUAUAUGGAGGAACACCGGUGGCGAAAGCGGCUCUCUGGCCUGUAACUGACACUGAGGCUCGAAAGCGUGGGGAGCAAACAGG
Molecule: ribosomal RNA, 252 nt
Filed under: uncultured bacterium
Lineage: Bacteria
Description: partial 16S ribosomal RNA
Rfam family: Bacterial small subunit ribosomal RNA
Source: RNAcentral